UACGUAGGGUGCAAGCGUUAUCCGGAAUUAUUGGGCGUAAAGAGCUCGUAGGCGGUUUGUCACGUCUGCUGUGAAAUGCCGGGGCUCAACCCCGUGCCCGCCGCGGAUACUGGAGGGCUGGAGACACGUAGAGGCAAGCGGAAUUCCGGGUGUAGCGGUGGAAUGCGUAGAGAUCCGGAAGAACACCGGAGGCGAAGGCGGCUUGCUGGGCGUAGUCUGACGCUGAGGCGCGAAAGCGUGGGGAGCAAACGGG
This 253-nucleotide ribosomal RNA is filed under the name uncultured bacterium. RNAcentral's name for it is "partial 16S ribosomal RNA". It matches the Rfam family "Bacterial small subunit ribosomal RNA", at positions 524 to 776 of the family's 1533-position model. The record is from RNAcentral.